GCGGAUGUGGUGGAAUUGGCAGACGCGCUAGCUUCAGGUGCUAGUGGGAGCAAUCUCGUGCGGGUUCAAGUCCCGCCAUCCGCACCA
RNAcentral lists this transfer RNA (87 nucleotides) under Clostridiales bacterium. Its description in RNAcentral is "tRNA-Leu". It matches the Rfam family "tRNA". From Rfam's summary of the family: Transfer RNA (tRNA) molecules are approximately 80 nucleotides in length. Lineage: Bacteria; Bacillati; Bacillota; Clostridia; Eubacteriales. The record is from RNAcentral. RNAcentral also lists the same sequence under 2 other names.